GUAGUCUGCAACUCGACUACAUGAAGCUGGAAUCGCUAGUAAUCGCGAAUCAGAAUGUCGCGGUGAAUACGUUCCCGGGUCUUGUACACACCGCCCGUCACACCAUGGGAGUCGGAAAUGCCCGAAGUCUGUGACCCAACCUUAGGGAGGGAGCAGCCGAAGGCAGGUCGGAUGACUGGGGUGAAGUCGUAACAAGGUACC
This 201-nucleotide ribosomal RNA is filed under the name uncultured bacterium. RNAcentral's name for it is "partial 16S ribosomal RNA". It matches the Rfam family "Bacterial small subunit ribosomal RNA", at positions 1300 to 1500 of the family's 1533-position model. The record is from RNAcentral.